UACGUAGGCAGCGAGCGUUGUUCGGAGUUACUGGGCGUAAAGGGUGUGUAGGCGGUUUUCUAAGUUUGGUGUGAAAUCUCCCGGCUUAACCGGGAGGGUGCGCCGAAAACUGGGAGACUAGAGUGCGGGAUGGGAGAGUAGAAUUCCUGGUGUAGCGGUGAAAUGCGUAGAUAUCAGGAGGAAUACCGGUGGUGCAGACGGCUCUCUGGACCGCAACUGACGCUGAGACACGAAAGCUAGGGGAGCAAACAGG
Molecule: ribosomal RNA, 253 nt
Filed under: uncultured bacterium
Lineage: Bacteria
Description: partial 16S ribosomal RNA
Rfam family: Bacterial small subunit ribosomal RNA
Source: RNAcentral